This 280-nucleotide long non-coding RNA is filed under the name Carica papaya (papaya). RNAcentral's name for it is "long non-coding RNA (CPAP_LNC009061)". The record is from RNAcentral. Lineage: Eukaryota; Viridiplantae; Streptophyta; Magnoliopsida; Brassicales; Caricaceae.
CCGCACACUUGCACUUCCAGCGUGGGAUAGGCUUUCCUGUGUGCUGUAGCUUAUCUCUCACGUCGAAAAAGAUCCCGUGGGUGCAAGGCCUCUCUCCUACGUAUGCGAUUGCUGGUACAUGUGCACAAGGAGGUUCAUAUAUGAAGCAUAUGUUGUCUGCCACUCUCUAAGGCCAAUUAGUCUUGUUUGGUUCUUAUGUGAUAUCCCAAGUGCUAAUUAAGGCAAAUGAGUGUUAGAUAUAGAUUCAGAAUAAUGAGUGUAUGAUAAAAUCUAUGUGGCG